This 253-nucleotide ribosomal RNA is filed under the name uncultured bacterium. RNAcentral describes it as "partial 16S ribosomal RNA". It matches the Rfam family "Bacterial small subunit ribosomal RNA", at positions 524 to 776 of the family's 1533-position model. The record is from RNAcentral.
UACGUAGGUGGCAAGCGUUGUCCGGAUUUACUGGGCGUAAAGAGCGCGCAGGCGGUCGUUCAAGUCGCGUGUGAAAGCCCCCGGCUCAACUGGGGAGGGUCACGCGAUACUGAUCGACUCGAAGGCAGGAGAGGGAAGUGGAAUUCCCGGUGUAGUGGUGAAAUGCGUAGAUAUCAGGAGGAACACCUGCGGUGUAGACAGCUUACUGGACCACUUCUGACGCUGAGACACGAAAGCGUGGGUAGCAAACAGG